RNAcentral lists this ribosomal RNA (450 nucleotides) under uncultured bacterium. RNAcentral's name for it is "partial 16S ribosomal RNA". It matches the Rfam family "Bacterial small subunit ribosomal RNA", at positions 354 to 796 of the family's 1533-position model. The record is from RNAcentral.
GUGGGGAAUCUUCCGCAAUGGGCGCAAGCCUGACGGAGCAACGCCGCGUGAGUGAAGAAGGUUUUCGGAUCGUAAAGCUCUUUCGUUAGGGACGAACGUGCUCUUUGUGAAUAAUGAGGAGUAAUGACGGUACCUAAAUAAGAAGCCACGGCUAACUACGUGCCAGCAGCCGCGGUAAUACGUAGGUGGCAAGCGUUGUCCGGAAUUAUUGGGCGUAAAGCGCGCGCAGGCGGGAUAUCAAGUCUGUCUUAAAAGUGCGAGGCUCAACCUCGUGAGGGGACAGAAACUGGUAUUCUUGAGUGUCGGAGAGGAAAGUGGAAUUCCAAGUGUAGCGGUGAAAUGCGUAGAGAUUUGGAAGAACACCAGUGGCGAAGGCGACUUUCUGGACGAUGUCUGACGCUGAGGCGCGAAAGCUAGGGGAGCGAACGGGAUUAGAAACCCUGGUAGUCC